UCCAGACUCCUACGGGAGGCAGCAGUGGGGAAUCUUCCGCAAUGGGCGAAAGCCUGACGGAGCAACGCCGCGUGAUCGAAUGAAGGCCUUCGGGUUGUAAAGAUCUGUUGAUAGGGACGAAUAAGCAAUGCGAAUAGUUUUGUGUAUGACGGUACCUGUUUAGAAAGCUCCGGCUAACUACGUGCCAGCAGCCGCGGUAAUACGUAGGGAGCAAGCGUUGUCCGGAAUUACUGGGCGUAAAGGGCGCGUAGGUGGGCGCUUAAGUCAGGUGUGAAAACUCCGGGCUCAACCUGGAGACUGCACUUGAAACUGGGUGUCUUGAGGGCAGGAGAGGAAAGUGGAAUUCCUAGUGUAGCGGUGAAAUGCGUAGAUAUUAGGAGGAACACCAGUGGCGAAGGCGGCCCCCUGGACGAAGACUGACGCUCAGGUGCGAAAGCGUGGGGAGCAAACAGGAUUAGAUACCCCGGUAAUU
This 472-nucleotide ribosomal RNA is filed under the name uncultured bacterium. RNAcentral describes it as "bacterial SSU rRNA". It matches the Rfam family "Bacterial small subunit ribosomal RNA", at positions 330 to 795 of the family's 1533-position model. The record is from RNAcentral.